Juglans microcarpa x Juglans regia is the source of this 375-nucleotide long non-coding RNA. RefSeq lists it as uncharacterized. The record is from RefSeq and is a predicted model, not a curated record. NCBI's taxonomy places the organism in Eukaryota, Viridiplantae, Streptophyta, Magnoliopsida, Fagales, Juglandaceae. The transcript has 2 exons.
UCAAGAGGCUCCAUGCCAAAAAAAAGUUAGAGAUUGAAUAUUGUUCAAAAAUAUAGUUUAAUUAAGAUGGCUGCAGUUCCAUGCAAACGCCAACUUGUUCUUGUUGCUUUUAUGUUGCUUUGCUUUUUCUCUGUUGGAGCCAGAGCACGCAGUUUACGGGUGAUCAGUACUACAAGCCAUGAAUCUCAGACGAGCCUGCAUGAUGAUAAGUUUUCACCAAAAGAAGAUAGGGCUGCAGACAGCGAUGAUUUAGUGGCCGCUGCGGAUUACACACCGGCAACAAGGAAGCCUCCAAUACAUAACUAAAAUGCAAUUAAUUAUUAAAUAUUGUUCAACAAUCUUCGAUUUAUUAAGAAAUUGCUUAUUUUUCCUAUA